GGACGCAUUGACUCGAUUGUUGC
RNAcentral lists this non-coding RNA (23 nucleotides) under Arabidopsis thaliana (thale cress). Lineage: Eukaryota; Viridiplantae; Streptophyta; Magnoliopsida; Brassicales; Brassicaceae. The record is from RNAcentral.